CAUGGAACGCUUUAAAGUGUGUGCCUUCCAUUUCACAUGGAUACUUCUUUUAAGUAUAAUCUUAAGCGUUGAAGCAAAGGAAAGAGAUGCUUCCAUUUUAGAUGGAAUUGAUGUAGGUGUUCCGAAGCUUUUAGGUAAAGUAGACAUUCUUUUGAAUGGCGUUUUCUCCACUACUGAUGAUCUCGUAGAUUUUCUAGUUGGUAAAUGAUGCUGGAUUGCUCACACAGAAUAUUGUGCCACAUUUUGUAUAAAGAAAUAAAUAAAAUUUCGUAUAGAUUUGGAUAAAAUUGAAAAAGAAAAUGUAAAAUAUUGCUGAAUUUAUUGCAGAGAAAGUAUAUUUGCGGCUGCUGCUGCAUUGCAGAAAUAGAUUUGCUGUAUUUCUACAUUUUAUAGUAACACCUUCCAGCGUUUUUAAAAUUUUAUAAAUGUAUAAAUUAAUUUAAAAUUAAUUUUGAAUAAUUUAAUUGUUAGACAGUAGAAGAUAAUUAUAAGAUUUUUUAUUUGAUGUAGAUGAGUUUUUAAAAGGUAGCUUAAAUAAAUAAAAAAUAAUUUUUUAUUAAUUAUUUAAUUAAAAAAUAAUUUUUUUAAAUAAAUGUUUUUUAUUGUUUUUCUUGCAUUAUUUAAUCUUAUUUAUUCAACUUGAACUGAACAAGCUUAAUGAAUUGUACGAUUAAAGCAAAUGACUAA
This is a long non-coding RNA of Argiope bruennichi, 687 nucleotides long. RefSeq lists it as uncharacterized. The record is from RefSeq and is a predicted model, not a curated record. The transcript has 8 exons. NCBI's taxonomy places the organism in Eukaryota, Metazoa, Arthropoda, Arachnida, Araneae, Araneidae.